UGGGGAAUUGUUCGCAAUGGGCGCAAGCCUGACGACGCAACGCCGCGUGGGGGAUGAAGGUCUUCGGAUUGUAAACCCCUGUUGGGUGGGACGAACACUUCCGUGGUGAAUAUCCACGGGAGCUGACGGUACCCGCAGAAUAAGCCCCGGCUAACUUCGUGCCAGCAGCCGCGGUAAUACGAAGGGGGCUAGCGUUGUUCGGAAUUACUGGGCGUAAAGGGCGCGUAGGCGGUCCUGAUCGUCGGAUGUGAAAGGCCUGGGCUCAACCUGGGAAUGGCAUCCGAUACGGCGGGACUGGAGUGUGGGAGAGGUUGGUGGAAUUCCCAGUGUAGAGGUGAAAUUCGUAGAUAUUGGGAAGAACACCGGUGGCGAAGGCGGCCAACUGGACCACAACUGACGCUGAGGCGCGAAAGCGUGGGGAGCAAA
Molecule: ribosomal RNA, 426 nt
Filed under: uncultured bacterium
Lineage: Bacteria
Description: bacterial SSU rRNA
Rfam family: Bacterial small subunit ribosomal RNA
Source: RNAcentral